Molecule: ribosomal RNA, 464 nt
Filed under: Vreelandella stevensii
Lineage: Bacteria; Pseudomonadati; Pseudomonadota; Gammaproteobacteria; Oceanospirillales; Halomonadaceae
Description: partial 16S ribosomal RNA
Rfam family: Bacterial small subunit ribosomal RNA
Source: RNAcentral
CCUACGGGAGGCUGCAGUGGGGAAUAUUGGACAAUGGGGGCAACCCUGAUCCAGCCAUGCCGCGUGUGUGAAGAAGGCCCUCGGGUUGUAAAGAACUUUCAGUGAGGAAGAACGCCUGGUGGUUAAUACCCAUCAGGAAAGACAUCACUCACAGAAGAAGCACCGGCUAACUCCGUGCCAGCAGCCGCGGUAAUACGGAGGGUGCGAGCGUUAAUCGGAAUUACUGGGCGUAAAGCGCGCGUAGGUGGCUUGAUAAGCCGGUUGGGAAAGCCCCGGGCUCAACCUGGGAACGGCAUCCGGACCGUUCAAGCUCGGUGGCAGGGAGGGAAGUAAUAUUCCCCGUUGAGGGGGUAAAUGGCGUGAGAUCCGGCGGGAUUCCCGUGGCCGAGGCCGCCCUUUGGACCUACAAUGAACCUGAGGUUCGGAAUCGUGGGUAAGCAACCGGGUUAGAUACCCGAGUAGUC